AUUGGCCGGCCGCAUAGUUUCUGACUGGAAGAAAGCUGCAUGGUCUCUCAGAGAUGAGGCUGAGGAUAGCAAGGCCGGAGACACCACACUCUUGUCUGGACACAUAUAUAGAAAGAAGUAACAGAAACAACACAUGAAAAAAUGACCUUAACCUGAAGUAAUAUAGAUCUCUGUUCCAGAAAUAGUUGCUGCCUCAAUUAUGUUAGUGCUGGUUAAGAGAACUGCAUAUGGAAAACACAGUCAAAUUACAAAGAAGAAGCUGUUGUUUCAAGUGAAGAUCAUUGUGGUCUUAAAAAUUUACCAAAAUCUUAGCAAAACUUGUGUAAUGAGCUUUUUAUACUUUGACAAGCAUUUGGAGACCAACUGAAUCAAAGUCCAAAUCUCAAAAACAUAUAAUGUGAAGUAUGUAAACCUACAAUCUUUUCUCUCACCUUAAACUGUGAUAGUGGCUUUGCAAUUAGUAAUCAGUUGGUACAUGUUUUGUUUUUUAUUGCUCUCUACAUGCAAACACUGUUUCUGGAUGAUAUUCCCAUAUUUCUUUUAUGUCCUCAAACAUACUAAGCAAAUCAACAGUUAAACUCCUUUCUCACACCACAAAUCCAAUGUUCUGAGUGACCCUUUAUUGUACAAAUGAUUACAGAUUCUUAUGUUUUUGACACUAUGAUCCAAUUAACACCUGGUGUUAACAUGCAAUCUGUAUCUGGAUAUCUUAAAGAAAAUAAUGGAAGUGCAGGUGUAAAUUCAUGCAGAACCAAACAGAAAUCAGGCUCACACUCUGAUGUCAGCCAGGUUUAAAAGCAGUGUUACCACAUUCUAAAGAAAAAAAACAUCUUGAUAUGUCACCUAGCUUGACUUCUUCCUGCUAUCUUGACCUGCAUGUUCCUUGGAAAAGUAAAAAUAAGUAGAGCCCAAAUAUCAGCAGCACUUAAGGAGAACCUUUAGGAACUGCUAUGACCUGCAAGAUGAUGGUCAUGUGACUGAUGGCGGUAGCACACUGCUUUCUUAAACCUUAAAAUCAUUACACAAGAUGCUUCACAAUAUAUUUUGAUUUAAAUGUUGCAUUAGAUGGAAUAAGAGACUGCCUUCAGCCAGCAGAGACCAGCAUGCAUUUCUUCAACUUCUGGUCUGAAUGAAGAGUCCAGGACCAGAUGUGCUGCAACAAAACAUUGUACAACCAAACAUUAUACAACCUGCUUUAAUAUGCUUGGAGAUGGACACAAGUGACACCUUUUAAUAGUAGAUACUGCACUGCCCAUUUUAGAUGUAACUUUGUCUUUAUGACCAGACCAAGACAUUUCCUCAUAUAAUACCCUGGAGCUUAGUUUGUUAGGACUUAAGAACAUUAGAACCAUUCGGUUUGCUUAUUUCUAUUAUAUUCAUCCAUACUGGAGUGUGAUGCCACUCCAUGCUACCUAAGAGGGAAUGAACAAUGAGCUCCUGUCGUUCCACGCAGAACAAGUAUGGAGCUUUACUUCUGCAAUGUGCAUCAACACACAUAUUUCAUUCUUAUAUGUAUAGAUUGAGGACAGAAGUACAUUAACUGAUUGAAAUCCUGUGUUUGUAAAACUGGACAAGAGAGUUUUAAAAGUUCAGUUAAGUCUGAUCUUAGAUGUGUACACGCGUUGGUGAAUGUACAACGAUGCCAAGGUCGACUGUUGGAAAGGUAUGCAAGUUCACACACACACACACACACACACACACACACACACACACACACACACACACACACACACACACACAGACACAUAAUGCUUCCCCCAUUAGCCUGUCAACACAAAGCUGGCUUGUUUUACAGUACAUUAGGCACUGCAAAUCAAUUACCUUGCAUUUACAGUUAAUUGGCCUGUAUUCUUGGCUCUGUUAACUGAUAUCUGGCUGGACUCAAUGGGUCUGUGUUGGAAAGGCUACAAAUAACGAUGCGUUGUUGUGUCUGUAUGAGAACAAAUACUCAUGUUCAGGUGUUCAAGUGUAAAUGGCUUACAUUCAGUUAGUCAGACAUGGCUGCAUUUCCACGUACAAAUAAUGCCACUGUUUGCAAUUCUGAAAGUCCAGAAAAACUUUUAUAAGCUGUUUACGUGAUUGCGUAACCUGACAAUAUCCCAUGAUUAUGAUGUGAUUCAAGUAGUAAGUAUAUACCAGCAAGUCAUUGUGAUGUGCUUACAAAGUCUUGAACUCCUAUGCUGCUAUGCUAUUCAAGGCUGUUAUCCUUUAUAUUUAAAUCUGAAGGAACUGGAUCAAUUUCUGCUUGUGUCUGUAAAAAAUAUAGUUUGUGUGCCUAUAGGUGUAAUCAUUUUGUGUGGAUUCAGUCAGAUUAGAUCAGCCAUUCUCAAUAAAUGGGCUGCAACAACCAGUUCAGGUCUGUGUUGUUUUUCUUGCUACGACAGAUUAGUUAUGCAGAAAACGGCCAAACUUCUCACUAAGUGUGCUGAGAGUGUACUCCCAAGAAAAUAAAGUCAUUUCAGCAAGUGCCCCAAGACAACAUAUGUUUACAUUCAAAUGAAUGUGCCCUCUAGUGGCCAUAGUAAGUACAACAGGAGAAAAGGAAGAAAUCAAGCAACGUUAUUAUAGAGUGACAAAGUAUAGAUAGGGAGGGGGUGGCAGUGGAUGAAUGGAUCAAUAAAAUACUGGACUUUAA
Molecule: long non-coding RNA, 2635 nt
Organism: Thunnus maccoyii (southern bluefin tuna)
Lineage: Eukaryota; Metazoa; Chordata; Actinopteri; Scombriformes; Scombridae
Exons: 2
Source: RefSeq, a predicted model, not a curated record